AAUCCCCUGCGGUGCCCGUUUAGGUCAUAGAUUCCUUGAACCUAUGCUAAUGCGCAUCCGGUUGCGAACCGUUGAUCCGCUGUUGCGAACGCCCCUGGUCGGGCGUACCUGAUGCGGUAGGAACGCGACCACCCUGGACCCUCGGUUCAGGAUGCUGGCCUGACGACAUUCGCGGGGGGCCA
Molecule: non-coding RNA, 182 nt
Filed under: Rhodocyclaceae bacterium
Lineage: Bacteria; Pseudomonadati; Pseudomonadota; Betaproteobacteria; Rhodocyclales; Rhodocyclaceae
Description: 6S RNA
Rfam family: 6S / SsrS RNA
About the family: E. coli 6S RNA was the first non coding RNA to be sequenced, but its function was unknown until recently. It consists of 184 nucleotides that fold into an extended hairpin structure with a large single-stranded internal bulge.
Source: RNAcentral